GUGGGAGCUGGCUUGCCAGCGAUGGCGGUAUGUCAGGCGAUGAAGAUGUCGACUGCGCCGUCCUCAUCGCUGGCAAGCCAGCUCCCAC
Molecule: non-coding RNA, 88 nt
Filed under: Pseudomonas helmanticensis
Lineage: Bacteria; Pseudomonadati; Pseudomonadota; Gammaproteobacteria; Pseudomonadales; Pseudomonadaceae
Source: RNAcentral